GACGAACGCUGGCGGCGUGCUUAACACAUGCAAGUCGAACGGAAAGGCCUUUUCGGAGGUACUCGAGUGGCGAACGGGUGAGUAACACGUGGGUGAUCUGCCCUGCACUCUGGGAUAAGCCUGGGAAACUGGGUCUAAUACCGGAUAGGACCGCACUUUAGUGUGUGUGGUGGAAAGUUUUUUCGGUGUAGGAUGAGCCCGCGGCCUAUCAGCUUGUUGGUGGGGUAAUGGCCUACCAAGGCGGCGACGGGUAGCCGGACUGAGAGGUUGGUCGGCCACAUUGGGACUGAGAGACGGCCCAGACGCCUACGGGAGGCAGCAGUGGGGAAGAUUGCACAAUGGGCGCAAGCCUGAUGCAGCGACGCCGCGUGGGGGAUGACGGCCUUCGGGUUGUAAACUCCUUUCGCCAGGGACGAAGCGUUUUGUGACGGUACCUGGAGAAGAAGCACCGGCUAACUACGUG
Molecule: ribosomal RNA, 463 nt
Filed under: uncultured bacterium
Lineage: Bacteria
Description: partial 16S ribosomal RNA
Rfam family: Bacterial small subunit ribosomal RNA
Source: RNAcentral